RNAcentral lists this ribosomal RNA (557 nucleotides) under Vishniacozyma victoriae. RNAcentral's name for it is "partial large subunit ribosomal RNA". It matches the Rfam family "Eukaryotic large subunit ribosomal RNA", at positions 76 to 618 of the family's 3401-position model. The record is from RNAcentral. Lineage: Eukaryota; Fungi; Basidiomycota; Tremellomycetes; Tremellales; Bulleribasidiaceae.
UCCCUUAGUAACGGCGAGUGAACCGGGAUGAGCUCAAAUUUAAAAUCUGGCGUCUUUCAGGCGUCCGAGUUGUAAUCUAUAGAGGCGUUUUCCGCGCCGGACCGCGUCCAAGUCUCUUGGAAUAGAGUAUCAAAGAGGGUGACAAUCCCGUACUUGACGCGACAACCGGUGCUCUGUGAUACGUUCUCAAUGAGUCGAGUUGUUUGGGAAUGCAGCUCUAAAUGGGUGGUAAAUUCCAUCUAAGGCUAAAUAUUGGCGAGAGACCGAUAGCGAACAAGUACCGUGAGGGAAAGAUGAAAAGCACUUUGGAAAGAGAGUUAAACAGCACGUGAAAUUGUUAAAAGGGAAACGAUUGAAGUCAGUCGUGUGAAAGGUAUUCAGCCGUCUCUGGCGGUGUAUUUGCCUUUCACGGGUCAACAUCAGUUUGAUCCGGUAGAAAAAGGCGGGAGGAAGGUGGCACCCUCGGGUGUGUUAUAGCCUCCUGUCAUAUGUGCCGGACCAGACUGAGGAACGCAGCUUGCCGCAAGGCCGGGGUUCGCCCACGUACAAGCUUAGGA